Molecule: long non-coding RNA, 2023 nt
Organism: Cygnus olor (mute swan)
Lineage: Eukaryota; Metazoa; Chordata; Aves; Anseriformes; Anatidae
Exons: 3
Source: RefSeq, a predicted model, not a curated record
AACAGGAGGGAGUUAGUGCCUGCCCCCAGCCGUGACACCCGGGGCUUGGAUGGAAGCUGAGGGGUUUGUCUCCCAGCCACGUAUAUAUGCUGUCAAGCUAUGCUUCUUCCUUGCAGAGCGAACUAAAUGUGGAACUUGUUAAUUUAACAACAUCAUGGGUUUUCUACCCAAAAUGUCCUAGAAAUCCGAAGCCUAAAUAAACUCCUUCCCCCCAUGCUUCCUCCUUUAGUUGUGGGCUGAUUUAUUGCAGAGCUGCUUGGUCUGCUAGCUCAAGUGGUAUUUAAGUGAUUAAAGAGUAUUGAAGCAACCUCAGGGUGGAUUUUUGGAAGAACUAGGUCAAAUGUUGUAUUUGCUGACCACAACAAUGUCUGGGCCCUUCUGUCGGUGGUGGCAGCCUCGUCCCUCCUGCAGGCGCCUCUCACAGGCGCUGUGCUGGUGCCUUCACCUUUCUUUAACACUGGCCUUGCCGGGGAUUGUUCUGUACCAAGGGCUUGAACAGUGCAAACGUUGAACUACUAGACAAUCUUGAACUGCAGAGAAGCUGACAGUUAUUAGAUAUGGGAAGGCUCGAUUCAACACCCUGCAAAAAGUAACCCUUAGUGAGCUAAGAAUUGAACCCAUUCUGAUUAACUACUGCUUCAAUCCUUACAUUCAGGUUAUGGUACAGACUGAAGGUGAUGACAAAACAAAGCAUAAGAAAUCUUAGCUUUCAAAAAGACAUUAUGAACUGUAAAAACGACAGACUUGGUCAGUGGCCAGUGUGCUGCAGGAGACGAGCAGAAGACAGCCCGGCGGGGUGCUAAUGUGCAGUUGCAUCAUGUAUUGCAAUCUGGCCUCUGACCCAGAAGGAAAGCUGAGCUCUUGUCUGAACGUGUAUUAGCUCUCUUGCACAUCUGUGUUAGCGGCCUGCCCUCUCUGUCCUUUUGCAGCACUUCAUACCUUGCCCAGGUGAGCCUGUGGGGUGCAGGAAGGCAGCGGGAGCAGCCCUGGAGCUGCAAGGAAGCAGCUCUUCCCGUGGCUCUUACACAGCCUUGCCACUGCAGCAGUGACUCUGGUCAUGACGAUGAUCUUUGGGAUCUCGAGUGGUCUCCAGAAUUUUCCUCGUGGUCUGUGGCUGCCAGCUGUUGUGGUGGGGAGGCUCUGGGGAAGCGGCAGUGUGGCCGGUGGAUGGCUGAACCCUCGGCAGCACUGACGCCACAGGAGGAACCCUACAGCAGCGCCGUCAGAAAGUCACAGGAUGGGUAAGUCCCUGGCAGUGCUCCCACAAACCCAGCAGCACCCAGAGACACCUGGGGAGGGGACCAGUAAGUUCACUGGUGCACGGCCACAGCUCAGUCACCGGUUGGGUUUCACGUCAAAGCCUGGCAAGGCGGUGGAGCUGGGCGUCCCUCUGCUGAGGGGCCACGGCCUGGGAGGACAGCUGUCCCCGCAGGCCCGGGUUGUUUGCUCUAACCACGUGUAGUCAGCACGAGUCAUUUAAUGCUUGUAAAGCAUCUUGAGUUAAUCUGUGGACCAACAAACUGCAGCAGCGCACGGAGAUAUCCCCGCUGCAUUUAUCAUGUAAGACACAUGGCACAAAUCACUUUGUUUUGCCAUCUGCAACUUCCAAGCCACUUGAGCACAGGAGCCUUUUCGAUUUGGGAGUGAGAAGGGAACCACAUGAGGCUUGGCUCCCACAGCAGGCGCAUCUACUUUCCUGCUCAGGACACAUCCCACAGCCGUCCGCUUGCUGUACAUCCAGGGUGAAGCACAUUGACUCCUCUAGGAAAGAGGGGGGACGGAGCCUCUGCCUUGCUGGGGAUGUGGAAGGAGGACAGCAGUAUUUCCAGGAGAGAAUACUUGUAUUUGCCAAGGGAUGGUGCAAAACUGAAGGAUGGAAACUUCAGGAUUCCCACCUGAUAAACCAAAUAUACUCAUGACUGCCAAAAUGUCAAAGCGAACAAAGCUGACAACCCUACUGUGCGAUUGUAUUUCACUGAAAAGCACUGAUUGGCACAAUGACAUCCGAGUUUACAGAGACUAA